This 165-nucleotide ribosomal RNA is filed under the name Vaccinium uliginosum (bog bilberry). Its description in RNAcentral is "5.8S ribosomal RNA". It matches the Rfam family "5.8S ribosomal RNA". From Rfam's summary of the family: 5.8S ribosomal RNA (5.8S rRNA) is a component of the large subunit of the eukaryotic ribosome. It is transcribed by RNA polymerase I as part of the 45S precursor that also contains 18S and 28S rRNA. The record is from RNAcentral. Lineage: Eukaryota; Viridiplantae; Streptophyta; Magnoliopsida; Ericales; Ericaceae.
GAACGACUCUCGGCAACGGAUAUCUCGGCUCUUGCAUCUAUGAAGAACGUAGCGAAAUGCGAUACUUGGUGUGAAUUGCAGAAUCCCGUGAACCAUCGAGUCUUUGAACGCAAGUUGCGCCUGAAGCCAUUAGGUUGAAGGCACGUCUGCCUGGGCGUCACGCAU